GACGUAGGGCGCGAGCGUUGUCCGGAUUUACUGGGCGUAAAGGGCGCGUAGGCGGCAAUUCAAGUCAUCUGUGAAAUCUCCGGGCUUAACUCGGAACGGUCAGAUGAUACUGCUUUGCUAGAGUGCGGAAGGGGCAAUCGGAAUUCUUGGUGUAGCGGUGAAAUGCGUAGAUAUCAAGAGGAACACCUGAGGUGAAGACGGGUUGCUGGGCCGACACUGACGCUGAGUGCGCGAAAGCCAGGGGAGCAAACGGG
This 254-nucleotide ribosomal RNA is filed under the name uncultured bacterium. RNAcentral describes it as "partial 16S ribosomal RNA". It matches the Rfam family "Bacterial small subunit ribosomal RNA", at positions 524 to 776 of the family's 1533-position model. The record is from RNAcentral.